This 72-nucleotide transfer RNA is filed under the name Planctomycetales bacterium. Its description in RNAcentral is "tRNA-Glu". It matches the Rfam family "tRNA". From Rfam's summary of the family: Transfer RNA (tRNA) molecules are approximately 80 nucleotides in length. Their secondary structure includes four short double-helical elements and three loops (D, anti-codon, and T loops). Lineage: Bacteria; Pseudomonadati; Planctomycetota; Planctomycetia; Planctomycetales. The record is from RNAcentral. RNAcentral also lists the same sequence under 1 other name.
GGCCCCAUCGUCUAGCGGUUAGGACACCGGCCUUUCACGCCGGCAACACGGGUUCGAACCCCGUUGGGGUCA